GUGCCGCGAGCCGCGGUAAUACCGGCAGCUCGAGUGAUGUCCAAUAUUAUUGGGCCUAAAGCGUCCGUAGCUGGCCGCGCAAGUCCGUCGGGAAAUCCACCUGCCCAACAGGUGGGCGUCCGGCGGAAACUGUGUGGCUUGGAACCGGAAGGCUCAGGGGGUACGUCCGGGGUAGGAGUGAAAUCCCGUAAUCCCGGACGGACCACCGAUGGCGAAAGCACUCUGAGAAGACGGCUUCGACAGUGAGGGACGAAAGCCAGGGUCUCCAACCGGAUUAGAUACCCUUGUAGUCC
This 293-nucleotide ribosomal RNA is filed under the name uncultured bacterium. RNAcentral describes it as "partial 16S ribosomal RNA". It matches the Rfam family "Archaeal small subunit ribosomal RNA", at positions 455 to 747 of the family's 1478-position model. The record is from RNAcentral.